This 336-nucleotide ribosomal RNA is filed under the name Triticum aestivum (bread wheat). RNAcentral's name for it is "partial small subunit ribosomal RNA". Lineage: Eukaryota; Viridiplantae; Streptophyta; Magnoliopsida; Poales; Poaceae. The record is from RNAcentral.
AUGGAUGGGUUCAUCACAGGGACUCGUCAUGGCGCGCUUCAUCAACACCAAGAGGAGACCCCUUCAUCUUCAUGGCCGGCCCUCAAGCAAAGCAAAGGGAGGGGAUCGAAAUCGUCCAUGGACGGACGCGCUGAUGGGGACCUGAUGGAGACAGAGAAGGACCACGAGGAGGUGGCGUGGGUCGACCCUGGCGGUUGGCUCCUCCUCCAGAACCACGUGGUAGGAGAGGAGGCACAAGGACUGCUUCUUCUCAGGAUGCCGCAUCCAGGGAGCUCCGACCCUACCGCCGCUGUCAUCCAUGGAGCUCUGACCCAUGGCCAAGAACUCAAGACAUAG